Molecule: unclassified non-coding RNA, 87 nt
Filed under: Pseudomonas fragi
Lineage: Bacteria; Pseudomonadati; Pseudomonadota; Gammaproteobacteria; Pseudomonadales; Pseudomonadaceae
Source: RNAcentral
UGUGGGAGCGGGCUUGCUCGCGAUGCGGGCGGCGCGGUUUGCCUGCAUGACCGCGUAGAUGCCAUCGCGAGCCAGCCCGCUCCCACA